GUGGCAUAGCUCGGUCCCAGCCUAACUCAGCAGUUUGCACAGAGUGCGGCUGUGUUUGAUCCCAUUAUUGCAUUGUCCCGUUGAAGGCAUUAGAAACUCCUCAAUGAAUUGCCUGAAAAAAAGAGGAUUAAAUCGGAAUUCCAAAAUUAUUCAACAAAUUUAAAUUUGGAAGAGCUCAC
This is a long non-coding RNA of Mobula hypostoma (lesser devil ray), 179 nucleotides long. RefSeq lists it as uncharacterized. The record is from RefSeq and is a predicted model, not a curated record. The transcript is spliced from 3 exons. Lineage: Eukaryota; Metazoa; Chordata; Chondrichthyes; Myliobatiformes; Myliobatidae.